RNAcentral lists this small nuclear RNA (23 nucleotides) under Arabidopsis thaliana (thale cress). RNAcentral's name for it is "snRNA_12191". The record is from RNAcentral. Lineage: Eukaryota; Viridiplantae; Streptophyta; Magnoliopsida; Brassicales; Brassicaceae.
CUAGUGGCAACCAUUGUAACUAA